GUCCACGCCCUAAACGAUGUCAACUAGGUGUUGGGUGGGUAAAACCAUUUAGUACCGGAGCUAACGCGUGAAGUUGACCGCCUGGGGAGUACGGCCGCAAGGUUAAAACUCAAAGGAAUUGACGGGGACCCGCACAAGCGGUGGAUGAUGUGGAUUAAUUCGAUGCAACGCGAAAACCUUACCUACCCUUGACAUGUUCAGAAGCCUGAAGAGAUUUGGGUGUGCCCGAAAGGGAACUGGAACACAGGUGCUGCAUGGCUGUCGU
RNAcentral lists this ribosomal RNA (265 nucleotides) under uncultured bacterium. RNAcentral describes it as "partial 16S ribosomal RNA". It matches the Rfam family "Bacterial small subunit ribosomal RNA", at positions 793 to 1055 of the family's 1533-position model. The record is from RNAcentral.